Molecule: unclassified non-coding RNA, 531 nt
Filed under: Bombus terrestris (buff-tailed bumblebee)
Lineage: Eukaryota; Metazoa; Arthropoda; Insecta; Hymenoptera; Apidae
Description: misc RNA ENSBTSG00005026346.1
Source: RNAcentral
CACACGUGGCUCGUGUAACGUAAAAUUGACACUUGGACUGUAAGAGAAGAGAAGGCUGAGUCGUAACCCAACUAUUAAUUUUCUUUUAUCGAACUUUCUUAUCAAUCUAGCACUUGCAAGAAUAGAAUGACACUGAACCGGAGAAAGAGGCUGUACAAGAACAGGAACUAGAACAAGAACUGCCUGAACUGGCUGAAGUCUCGGUUUAUAUGCGUUUUGGUUUGAGGAUGUUGAGGGGCUCGGUGUAGGUUAUGAUGUGGAAAAGUGUCCGAAGGUCAGUGGUCGAUAUCCUAUCUUUGAUCUGGACUAAGGUACGUCACAGUCUUGGUGUAGGCUAUGAUGAUAAGGUGGUGAUGUGUCCAAAGGAGUCCGAAGCUCGGGGGUCGAUGUCUUAUCUCUGAUGUAAGUUGAGAUGUGAUUGAUGUCACACUCGACUUGUUCUCUAGCUCGUGUGCAGCUACGAACCUCUUUUGGGAUCUUAGACUUAAGAAACUCAUAUGUUCGACGUAAUAAAAGUCUCGUCAAUUCUAU